UCCAGAGGGUGCAAGCGUUAAUCGGAAUUACUGGGCGUAAAGCGUGCGUAGACGGUUAUGUAAGUCGGGUGUGAAAGCCCCGGGCUCAACCUGGGAAUUGCAUUCGAGACUGUGUAGCUAGGGUACGGAAGAGGGAAGCGGAAUUUCAGGUGUAGCGGUGAAAUGCGUAGAUAUCUGAAGGAACACCAGUGGCGAAAGCGGCUUCCUGGUCCAGUACCGACGUUCAGGCACGAAAGCGUGGGGAGCAAACAGG
This 253-nucleotide ribosomal RNA is filed under the name uncultured bacterium. Its description in RNAcentral is "partial 16S ribosomal RNA". It matches the Rfam family "Bacterial small subunit ribosomal RNA", at positions 524 to 776 of the family's 1533-position model. The record is from RNAcentral.